This 435-nucleotide ribosomal RNA is filed under the name Triticum aestivum (bread wheat). RNAcentral describes it as "partial small subunit ribosomal RNA". The record is from RNAcentral. Lineage: Eukaryota; Viridiplantae; Streptophyta; Magnoliopsida; Poales; Poaceae.
AUGGGCACGAUCAUCGCAGCGGCGCUCGUGGAGGGCCAACGACUUGAGAUGGCACGGGAGCACGGGUUGGUGGAUGAUGCCAUGUCGACAAUGUCAAUGAGCUGGGCGUGGCUGGUGCCGCAGAACGUGAUGAUGGGUGUGGCAGAUGUACUGGCGGUGGUCGGGAUGCAGGAGUUCUUCUACGACAAGAUGCCCAGCAAGUUGCGCAACCUUGUCUUGGCGCUCUACUUUAGCAUGAUGGGCAUCGGCCGCUUCAUCAAAAUGCCCUCGUCUCGCUCAUCGACAGUGUCACCCGGAGUGGAGGUGCCGACGGCUGGUUCCCCGACAACCUCAACCAUGCCCACCUCGACUACUUCUACUGGUUGCUCACCGGGCUGUCAGCCGCUGAGCUCAUGCUCUUCGUGUGGCUCACCAGUUCCUACACACCUACAAUAA